AGGUGCGGGGUGCCUAUACAUGCAAGUCGAGCGGUAAGGCCCCUUCGGGGGUACACGAGCGGCGGACGGCUGACCAUUUAAAAGGAACGUACCCCUAACUGAGGGAUAAGCACCGGACCCUGUGACUAAUACCGCAUGUGCUCUUCGGAGUAAAGCUACGGCGGUUAGAGAACGGCCUGCGUCCGAUUAGCUAGUUGGUGAGGUAAUAGCUCACCAAGGCGACGAUCGGUAGCUGGUCUGAGAGGAUGAUCAGCCAGACUGGGACUGAGACACGGCCCAGACUCCUACGGGAGGCAGCAGUAGGGAAUUUUCCACAAUGGGGGCAACCCUGAUGGAGCAACGCCGCGUGCAGGAUGAAUGCCUUCGGGUUGUAAACUGCUUUUAUCUGUGACGAUUAUGACGGUAGCAGAUGAAUAAGGAUCGGCUAACUCCGUGCCAGCAGCCGCGGUCAUACGGAGGAUCCAAGCGUUAUCCGGAAUU
Molecule: ribosomal RNA, 480 nt
Filed under: uncultured bacterium
Lineage: Bacteria
Description: bacterial SSU rRNA
Rfam family: Bacterial small subunit ribosomal RNA
Source: RNAcentral